Molecule: ribosomal RNA, 484 nt
Filed under: uncultured bacterium
Lineage: Bacteria
Description: partial 16S ribosomal RNA
Rfam family: Bacterial small subunit ribosomal RNA
Source: RNAcentral
AUUGAACGCUGGCGGCAGGCCUAACACAUUCAAGUCGAGCGGAUGAAGGGAGCUUGCUCCUGGAUUCAGCGGCGGACGGGUGAGUAAUGCCUAGGAAUCUGCCUGGUAGUGGGGGAUAACGUCCGGAAACGGGCGCUAAUACCGCAUACGUCCUGAGGGAGAAAGUGGGGGAUCUUCGGACCUCACGCUAUCAGAUGAGCCUAGGUCGGAUUAGCUAGUUGGUGGGGUAAAGGCCUACCAAGGCGACGAUCCGUAACUGGUCUGAGAGGAUGAUCAGUCACACUGGAACUGAGACACGGUCCAGACUCCUACGGGAGGCAGCAGUGGGGAAUAUUGGACAAUGGGCGAAAGCCUGAUCCAGCCAUGCCGCGUGUGUGAAGAAGGUCUUCGGAUUGUAAAGCACUUUAAGUUGGGAGGAAGGGCAGUAAGUUAAUACCUUGCUGUUUUGACGUUACCAACAGAAUAAGCACCGGCUAACUUCGUG